GAUCCCAAUGCUGCACCGCCACGACGUAUACGACUCCAGCAUGGGGUAAUACAUCCUGUUAAAUAUAAACACAUAACCAAAUACGGUAUGGUCUGUUCCACAGGUGAACCAGGUGAACCUUAGACACUUCAGGAAGCACUUGGUGAUGAAAGAUGGAAAAAUGCUAUGAAUGAAGAAUACAUGGCACUCAAGAAGAAUAAAACUUGGCAUUUGGUUCCCCCACAGCAAGGUAAAAAUUUAAUUGAUUGCAAGUGGGUAUUCAGAAUAAAGAGGAAAUCUGAUGGAACUAUUGAUCGCUACAAAGCUAGGCUCGUUGCAAAAGGUUUUAAACAACGGUAUGUCAUAGACUACGCGGACACUUUUAGUCCAGUUGUUAAGGCUGCCACUAUUCGUCUUGUUUUGUCUAUUGCCGUUUCCAGGGGAUGGAGUCUCAGGCAACUUGAUGUUCAGAAUGCGUUUCUUCAUGGUGUUCUGGAAGAGGAGGUAUAUAUGAAACAACCUCCUGGGUUUGUAAGUAAAAGUGCACCCUCUCAUGUUUGCAAGUUGGACAAAGCACUUUAUGGUUUGAAACAGGCACCAAGAGCAUGGUACUCUCGUCUCUGUCACAAAAUGCAAACACUUGGUUUUGUCCCUUCAAAAUCUGACACCUCUCUGUUCAUCUACAACAAGUCCAAUACAUGCGUAUUUGUCUUAAUAUAUGUUGAUGAUAUUAUUGUGACAAGCUCAUCUGAUGAAGCCAUCAUAGGACUGUUAAAAGAUUUGAGUGCAGAUUUUGCCUUGAAGGAUCUGGAGACUUGCAUUAUUUUCUUGGGAUUGAAGUAAAGAGGCACAAGGAUGGACUUCAUCUCUCCCAAGAAAAGUAUGCAGUUGACUUGGUAAGAAAAGCUGGUCUACAGGGUUGUAAACCUACACCUACUCCAUUAUCCAGCUCAGAAAAAUUAUCUCUGACACAAGUGACUCUCUUGACUCAAGAGGACAGUACCAAAUACAGAAGCUUGGUAGGGGCACUUCAAUAUCUUACUCUUACCAGGCCUGAUAUUUCGUUUGCUGUCAACAAAGUAUGUCAGUUCCUUCAUGCACCUACAACUGUUCAUUUAACUGCUGCCAAACGCAUAGUCAGAUAUGUCAAAAACACAUUAAGCACGGGUCUCAAUUUUAGCAAGUCAUCUUCCACUCUUGUCAGUGCUUUUUCUGAUUCUGAUUGGGCAGGCUGUCUUGAUGAUAGACGCUCUACUGGUGGUUUUGCUGUUUUCUUUGGACCCAACUUAAUUUCAUGGUGUGCUCGUAAGCAAGCUACAGUCUCCAGAUCAAGUACAGAAGCAGAAUAUAAGGCAUUGGCCAAUGCCACAGCUGAAAUCAUAUGGGUUCAAUCCAUGCUCAAGGAACUUGGUAUAAAGAGUCAACAGGCUCCAUGUUUGUGGUGUGACAAUCUUGGUGCCACCUAUCUUUCAGCUAAUCCAGUGUUUCAUGCUAGGACCAAACACAUUGAGAUAGACUUUCAUUUUGUCGGAGAGAGGGUAGCUCAUAAGCAACUUGACAUUCGUUUUGUGCACUCCAGAGAUCAAAUUGCAGAUGGAUUCACAAAGGCAUUGCCAGUCAAGAGUUUUGAAAACUUCAAGUAUAAUCUCAACCUCAUGGAGUUGUGAUUAAGGGAGGGUGUUAAACACGUCAUGUGAUGUGACCGGCGCAUCUCAUAGGAGAUAGUUAAGGUAGUUAGGUUGUUAGAGUAUCAUGUUUAUCUCAUGUAACCUCUUAUCUCUAUCUCCUUUCUUGAUCUCCAAGCUUGUAAUCCAAACCGCAUGUAUGCGCUGUUAUGGGAGGUGCACCCCAUCUAUUUAACACGAACCCGUCGGCCUGAGCAAGGCAAGACGUUCCGC
RNAcentral lists this ribosomal RNA (1877 nucleotides) under Triticum aestivum (bread wheat). RNAcentral describes it as "partial small subunit ribosomal RNA". Lineage: Eukaryota; Viridiplantae; Streptophyta; Magnoliopsida; Poales; Poaceae. The record is from RNAcentral.